This 305-nucleotide ribosomal RNA is filed under the name uncultured bacterium. Its description in RNAcentral is "bacterial SSU rRNA". It matches the Rfam family "Bacterial small subunit ribosomal RNA", at positions 338 to 641 of the family's 1533-position model. The record is from RNAcentral.
CCUACGGGAGGCAGCAGUGAGGAAUAUUGGUCAAUGGACGCAAGUCUGAACCAGCCAUGCCGCGUGCAGGAAGACGGCUCUAUGAGUUGUAAACUGCUUUUGUACGAGGGUAAAUCCCGAUACGUGUAUCGGGUUGAAAGUAUCGUACGAAUAAGGAUCGGCUAACUCCGUGCCAGCAGCCGCGGUAAUACGGAGGAUUCAAGCGUUAUCCGGAUUUAUUGGGUUUAAAGGGUGCGUAGGCGGUUCGAUAAGUUAGAGGUGAAAUCCUGUAGCUUAACUACAGAACUGCAUUUGAAACUAUGAGU